This 521-nucleotide ribosomal RNA is filed under the name Clostridioides difficile. RNAcentral's name for it is "bacterial SSU rRNA". It matches the Rfam family "Bacterial small subunit ribosomal RNA", at positions 1017 to 1533 of the family's 1533-position model. Lineage: Bacteria; Bacillati; Bacillota; Clostridia; Peptostreptococcales; Peptostreptococcaceae. The record is from RNAcentral.
CUUCGGGGACAUUGGUGACAGGUGGUGCAUGGUUGUCGUCAGCUCGUGUCGUGAGAUGUUGGGUUAAGUCCCGCAACGAGCGCAACCCUUGUCUUUAGUUGCCAUCAUUAAGUUGGGCACUCUAGAGAGACUGCCAGGGAUAACCUGGAGGAAGGUGGGGAUGACGUCAAAUCAUCAUGCCCCUUAUGCUUAGGGCUACACACGUGCUACAAUGGGUAGUACAGAGGGUUGCCAAGCCGUAAGGUGGAGCUAAUCCCUUAAAGCUACUCUCAGUUCGGAUUGUAGGCUGAAACUCGCCUACAUGAAGCUGGAGUUACUAGUAAUCGCAGAUCAGAAUGCUGCGGUGAAUGCGUUCCCGGGUCUUGUACACACCGCCCGUCACACCACGGGAGUUGGAGACGCCCGAAGCCGAUUAUCUAACCUUUUGGAAGAAGUCGUCGAAGGUGGAAUCAAUAACUGGGGUGAAGUCGUAACAAGGUAGCCGUAUCGGAAGGUGCGGCUGGAUCACCUCCCUUCUAAGG